This 1253-nucleotide long non-coding RNA is filed under the name Vulpes vulpes (red fox). RNAcentral's name for it is "lncRNA (ENSVVUG00000015122.1)". The record is from RNAcentral. Lineage: Eukaryota; Metazoa; Chordata; Mammalia; Carnivora; Canidae.
GGGUAGUUCUAUUUUUAACUUUUGAGGAACCUCCAUACUCUUUUCCAGAGGGGUUACACCAGUUUGCAUUCCCACCAACAGUGCAAGAGGGUUUGACAUAGUCAUUUUAAAUGGGGUAUUUCAUUUAAUUUUCAAAACAAUUCUGUUUUACAUACUUUCUAUUACUGAUUAUAUUUUACAGGACUACAGUAUUUUAAGUGAUAUUUUUCAAGAUUAUAUAAUGAGUUGUAAGCCCAAGAUUUGUUCUAAGUCUAUUCAACUUCAAAAACUAUCUUCCUCAUCAUAGCUCAUGAUAUGAAAAUAUAAGGAAAUACAUAAAGCCUUGAAGAUUAAAGCAAAAUUAAUGACUGGCUUUAAAUUCACAUUCAGCCAGAGUCAAGAGAACACUACAAAUUGUAAAGUUACAUUGCUUCCUGAAAAGAAUAAGUUUUUCAUAUGCUUGGCCACUCAGUGACGUGAACAUGUUCCCAAAUUGCUUAUGACACAUUCGUUGCCCAGAUACAAGGGCUGAGUGAGGUUGAUCAGCUAGGUCUAGCUGCCACUUUACCCAUAGCUGAGAAUCACAAUCUGAAAACCAGCAAUCUUUGACAAAAGUAUUAUUUCCAAGCACUUCAAGGAAAAUACUCUCUUUACUUUGUUGUUUGGGAGAAGCCUGGAAAGAAAAUGGACAAAUGCAUCAAGAUUUUUCUCUUGACCUAAACUUCAGAUAUUGGAAAGAUUGUGAUGAGUUCCCAGGCUAAAAAAUUUCUUUGGUUGGAAUGACUUCAGCAUAACAGUGGAGUUUCAAGUGUUCAUUCUUUUCUCUUAAAAGUAAAAAGUUAUGUGAUAAUAAUUCUAAUGAUGAUAAUAAUAAUGUUAAGCCAGCAGCAGAAACCCUUAACUCAGAAAAAGGAAACGGAACUUCUGAGUUGUGAGGAGAUGAAGAAAAUCCCCCAAUCAAGAAUUUUUGCAUUUGGAGGUGAGAAGAAGGAAGCCUGGAUCAGGGAAGUAACUUAUUUUUUUGGGGGGGGGGGAACGGGGGAAUAACUUGGUUUUAAAAAGACAGAUUUUGGGCGGUUCAAAUUCUCAUCUUUCAUAUGACUCAUCAUUGUGCAUCUAAGAAUAGCAACACAGAAAAGUGAAAACAAGAGUAGGUUAGAAUAGGGGAGAAUGGAUACUGGGUCCUUCUGUCCUCAUCUGCUUCUUGAUGCUGGCUGGGCAACUUCAUGCCUCUGACACUGAUGUAACUCCACUACAGACUUGGCCUAUCAGAC